GAUGAACGCUGGCGGCGUGCUUAACACAUGCAAGUCGAACGGAAAGGCUCCUGCUUGCAGGGGUACUCGAGUGGCGAACGGGUGAGUAACACGUGGGUGAUCUGCCCUGCACUUCGGGAUAAGCCUGGGAAACUGGGUCUAAUACCGGAUAGGACCACAUUUUGGAUGGUGUGGUGGAAAGUUUUUCGGUGUGGGAUGAGCUCGCGGCCUAUCAGCUUGUUGGUGGGGUAAUGGCCUACCAAGGCGUCGACGGGUAGCCGGCCUGAGAGGGUGUACGGCCACAUUGGGACUGAGAUACGGCCCAGACUCCUACGGGAGGCAGCAGUGGGGAAUAUUGCACAAUGGGCGCAAGCCUGAUGCAGCGACGCCGCGUGGGGGAUGACGGCCUUCGGGUUGUAAACUCCUUUCGCUAGGGACGAAGCGCAAGUGACGGUACCUGGAGAAGAAGCUCCGGCUAACUACGU
RNAcentral lists this ribosomal RNA (464 nucleotides) under uncultured bacterium. RNAcentral describes it as "partial 16S ribosomal RNA". It matches the Rfam family "Bacterial small subunit ribosomal RNA", at positions 28 to 506 of the family's 1533-position model. The record is from RNAcentral.